RNAcentral lists this ribosomal RNA (467 nucleotides) under uncultured Anaerolineaceae bacterium. Its description in RNAcentral is "bacterial SSU rRNA". It matches the Rfam family "Bacterial small subunit ribosomal RNA", at positions 897 to 1382 of the family's 1533-position model. Lineage: Bacteria; Bacillati; Chloroflexota; Anaerolineae; Anaerolineales; Anaerolineaceae. The record is from RNAcentral.
AAACUCAAAGGAAUUGAGGGACCCGCACAAGCAGCGGAGCGUGUGGUUUAAUUCGUUGCUACACGAAGAACCUUACCUGGUUUGACAUAUAGGUUGUAGGGAACUGAAAGGGACCGACCCUUCGGGGAGCCUAUACAGGUGUUGCAUGGCUGUCGUCAGCUCGUGUCGUGAGAUGUUCGGUUAAGUCCGCUAACGAGCGCAACCCUCGUCGUAUGUUAUAUGUGUCAUACGAGACUGCCGGUAAAAGCCGGAGGAAGGUGAGGAUGAUGUCAAGUCAGCAUGACCUUUAUAUCCAGGGCUACACACACGCUACAAUGGUCUGUACAAUGGGUAGCCAAGCCGCGAGGCGGAGCCAAUCCUGAAAGCAGGCCUCAGUUCAGAUUGCAGUCUGCAACUCGACUGCAUGAAGCCGGAGUUGCUAGUAACCGCAGGUCAGCAAUACUGCGGUGAAUACGUUCCCGGGUCUU